UUUUCUCGGAGUUCAGGGGUUUAGUUGCACACACAGUGACUAAAGGGGGUUUUACGCUAUAGGGGCUACUACUUCAGGGGCUAAUCUGCACCUUUUCCCUUUUUUAAUUAACUCUCAUCUCUCUCACUCAGCCCUCUUUCUCUCUCGGCCACUGCACCGCCGCUAACGGUGGUUGAAUCACCAAGUUGUAGGAUCAUCUUUUAUCAGCAACACAAAUGAUUAAUCCAUCAAAUCGACAUUAUAUAGAAAUAGCGAAAAUGAGGAGGUUAUGAUCGUUACAUUGUGAGAGGCGUCAAAUUUGGCGAUGGCGCCGACGCCUUGCCAAACAUCACAAACUCGCGAAGCUUCGAGGCGGCAAGCUUGCUUCUGCGGCGUGAUUUGGCGGCGACCUUCGCGUUGUCUUUUGUUGAAGCAAAGCACAGAGGACGACCGCAAGUUUGCUAGAGAGCAGCCAGUGGUGAUGGAGAGCGUGCGCGGCGCUCUUCGUUCGAAAUUCGAGCGAUGGAGGCAGGCNGCCGCUAACGGUGGUUGAAUCACCAAGUUGUAGGACCAUCUUUUAUCAGCAACACAAACGAUUAAUCCAUCAAAUCGACAUUAUAUAGAAAUAGUGAAAAUGAGGAGGUUAUGAUCGUUACAUUGUGAGAGGCGUCAAAUUUGGCGAUGGCGCCGACGCCUUGCCAAACAUCACAAACUCGCGAAGCUUCGAGGCGGCAAGCUUGCUUCUGCGGCGUGAUUUGGGGACGACCUUCGCGCUGUCUUU
RNAcentral lists this long non-coding RNA (760 nucleotides) under Salvia miltiorrhiza (redroot sage). RNAcentral's name for it is "long non-coding RNA (SMIL_LNC006764)". Lineage: Eukaryota; Viridiplantae; Streptophyta; Magnoliopsida; Lamiales; Lamiaceae. The record is from RNAcentral.